RNAcentral lists this ribosomal RNA (394 nucleotides) under uncultured bacterium. RNAcentral's name for it is "bacterial SSU rRNA". It matches the Rfam family "Bacterial small subunit ribosomal RNA", at positions 30 to 419 of the family's 1533-position model. The record is from RNAcentral.
AUUGAACGCUGGCGGCAGGCCUAACACAUGCAAGUCGAAUGGUAACAGGAAACAGCUUGCUGUUUCGCUGACGAGUGGCGGACGGGUGAGUAAUGUCUGGGAAACUGCCUGAUGGAGGGGGAUAACUACUGGAAACGGUAGCUAAUACCGCAUAACGUCGCAAGACCAAAGAGGGGGGACCUUCGGGCCUCUUGCCAUCAGAUGUGCCAGAUGGGAUUAGCUAGUAGGUGGGUAACGGCUCACCUAGGCGACAAUCCCUAGCUGGUCUGAGAGGAUGACCAGCCACACUGGAACUGAGACACGGUCCAGACUCCUACGGGAGGCAGCAGUGGGGAAUAUUGCACAAUGGGCGCAAGCCUGAUGCAGCCAUGCCGCGUGUAUGAAGAAGGCCUUC